CGCGGCCACGCCUCCCUCCCCAGCCCCACCACGGCACCACCUCACUGCGCAGCUGACACCCACGCCCGCGCCCCUAAAAUUAAGAAGGGAACUCCGGAAUCGCUCGAGGUGGUGGGGCGAGCUCGCGCGAGGAGGGGGCGCGAGAAGCUUCUGGUGGUGGUGGUGACCCUCGCCGUCGAAGCGGGCGGAGAGAAGAGAGGAGCGGGGAUCGCGCGGCGGAAGGGGGGAGGCGGUGGAUGGCGGUGGAGUACCACUGCUGCUCGGCGCCCUUCUUCGAGCACAUCGUCAUCAUCGUCGUGCUCGUGCUCUUCGCGGGCCUCAUGUCGGGCCUCACCCUCGGCCUCAUGUCCCUCAGCCUCGUCGACCUCGAGGUCCUCGCCAAGUCCGGCACCGACCAGGACCGCAAGCACGCAGCUAAGAUUUUGCCUGUUGUGAAGAAUCAGCACCUUCUGCUAUGCACUCUUCUGAUCUGCAAUGCUGCAGCCAUGGAGGCUUUGCCCAUAUUCCUUGAUAGCCUGGUGACUGCUUGGGGUGCGAUUUUGAUCUCAGUGACACUGAUUCUACUGUUUGGUGAGAUCUUACCACAGUCCAUCUGCUCACGUUAUGGGCUGGCUAUUGGUGCUUCAGUUGCUCCAUUAGUCCGUGUGCUUGUUUGGAUCUGCUUUCCUGUUGCCUAUCCUAUAAGCAAGCUACUAGACUGUGUGCUGGGUCAUGGUCAAACAGCUCUCUUCCGUAGAGCAGAGCUAAAAACACUUGUCACUCUGCACGGAAAUGAGGCUGGUAAAGGUGGAGAGUUAACCCAUGAUGAAACUACCAUAAUUGCUGGAGCUCUUGAACUCACAGAAAAGAAGGCUAAAGAUGCUAUGACACCAUUAUGUCAAACCUUUGCAAUUGAUAUAAAUGCAAAGCUUGACAGAGAACUGUUGCAAGAGGUCCUCGAGAAAGGGCAUAGCAGAGUACCAGUUUAUUAUGAAAAGAAGACAAAUAUUAUUGGAUUGAUAUUGGUGAAGAACUUAUUAUCAGUUAACGCUGAUCACGAGGUUCCUAUAAAAAGUGUAACUAUCCGCAAAAUUCCUCGUGUUUUUGAAGAUAUGCCCCUCUAUGACAUCCUAAAUGAGUUCCAGAAAGGCCACAGCCACAUGGCAGUGGUCAUAAGGAAAAACAUUCCCAAUGAAUCAGCUGAACAACCUGCCAAUGAUGGAGGAACUUUUGAUGUGACCAUUGCUAUUGAUGAAAAGAACAACGAAAAGGUCGUGAAGAACCUCCCGCCACCACUGCGAAGAUGGAAGAGCUACCCUAACACUCAGAACGUAUCGAAUAGAGGAAGCAGGCCUAAAAAAUGGUCCAAAGAUCAAUCAGAUGUCCUGCAGAUACACGAAGAGCCCCUGCCCACAUUGAGUGAAGAUGAAGAGGCUGUUGGUAUCAUAACCAUGGAGGAUGUCAUUGAGGAGCUUCUGCAGGAGGAGAUAUACGACGAGACAGACGUACAUGAGGAGCAAUGACACUGGCUUUACCGCCCGCUGUUUGUAUCUCCCUACUGGACCAGAGAAGCAGCUGUUAGAAAAGUGCGGCAUACGUAAUAUCUGUACUGUUUGUUGAUAGGUAGAUACAUCGAGGGAUACUAGCCGUUCAUUGUAGUGCCAGGUGGCUGUCUAGGAUAUUGGUAAGCGUUCGGUUUGGAGUUUGGAGUGCGUUGGUCUCAGAACCGCAGCAUCGCCCUGGUCCGGACCCUGUACCGCCGACAUCCCUGGUAAGAAAUGGACCGAAAACUGUGCCGAGGAUCCUUGGUGGGGAGCUUCCGCCAGGUUUUGUACAGAUCUCAACCUUUUGAAGCACGUAGGCAGGUACAGUCAACGGAAAGGAGCAGCGACGGUACGCCGCUCCUUGCCCCGCUGUAGCCUACGCUUGAGCACUCGCCUGUGAACACAGCGUGCGAGCGGGGGAGCCAGGGAUCGCCGCUGGACUGGAAUACUGGAUCUCCCGUGGCAGAAACUCGCUGGGGGCACGCGGUCUGGCUCGUGCGAUCCGCCAGCCCGGUACGGCGCGUGCGCGUGGGCCAAAUACCUUGGUCUCCUAGUUCUUCUGGCACUUGGUGGGUACGGACGGUGCAAUUGCGCCGCGUCCUGUGUGCUUUCUCAGUGGUGACACACAGCUGAGCUUGAACGGCGGCGAAACGAAUGGUCUCAUCCACGGGAGAUGCCACUAUAUCAGUGCAGUUGUGUUUGCAUC
Molecule: RNA transcript, 2229 nt
Organism: Panicum hallii
Lineage: Eukaryota; Viridiplantae; Streptophyta; Magnoliopsida; Poales; Poaceae
Gene name: DUF21 domain-containing protein At2g14520
Exons: 12
Source: RefSeq, a predicted model, not a curated record